This 468-nucleotide ribosomal RNA is filed under the name uncultured bacterium. RNAcentral's name for it is "partial 16S ribosomal RNA". It matches the Rfam family "Bacterial small subunit ribosomal RNA", at positions 29 to 507 of the family's 1533-position model. The record is from RNAcentral.
AACGAACGCUGGCGGCGUGCUUAACACAUGCAAGUCGAACGGAACGGCCCUGCUUAGUUGGGGUGCUCGAGGGGCCAACGGGUAACUAACACGUAAGUACCCUGCCAUUGCCUUUGGGAUGACUUCAGAAAAGUGGAUCUAAUCCCGGAUAGGAGCUACUGCUGCAUGAUGGGGGUUGGAAAGUUUCGGCGGUUGGGGAUUGACUCGCGGCUUAUCAGCUUGUUGGUGGGGUAGUGGCUUACCAAGCCUUUGCCCCGUGGCCUGCCUGAUAGGGUGACCGGCCAAAUUGGGAUGGAGAUGCGACCCAGCCCCCUACGGGAGGCGGCAGUGGGGAAUAGUGUACUAUGGGCGGAAGCCUGAUGCAGUAACGCCGCGUGGGGGAUGACGGCCAUCGGUUUGUAUUGCGCUUCCGUCUGUCACGAAGUGAGAGUGACGGUAAUGGGAAAAGAAGCACCGGCUAACUACGUG